UUAAGCGACUAAGCGUACACGGUGGAUGCCCUGGCAGUCAGAGGCGAUGAAGGACGUGCUAAUCUGCGAAAAGCGUCGGUAAGGUGAUAUGAACCGUUAUAGCCGGCGAUGUCCGAAUGGGGAAACCCAGUGCAAUUCGUUGCACUAUCGUUAACUGAAUACAUAGGUUAACGAGGCGAACCGGGGGAACUGAAACAUCUAAGUACCCCGAGGAAAAGAAAUCAACCGAGAUUCCCCCAGUAGCGGCGAGCGAACGGGGAGCAGCCCAGAGUCUGAAUCAGCUUGUGUGUUAGUGGAACGGUCUGGAAAGUCCGACGGUACAGGGUGAUAGUCCCGUACACCAAAAUGCACAGGUUGUGAACUCGAAGAGUAGGGCGGGACACGUGGUAUCCUGUCUGAAUAUGGGGGGACCAUCCUCCAAGGCUAAAUACUCCUGACUGACCGAUAGUGAACCAGUACCGUGAGGGAAAGGCGAAAAGAACCCCGGCGAGGGGAGUGAAAAAGAACCUGAAACCGUGUACGUACAAGCAGUGGGAGCACCUUCGGGUGUGACUGCGUACCUUUUGUAUAAUGGGUCAGCGACUUAUAUUCUGUAGCAAGGUUAACCGUAUAGGGGAGCCGCAGGGAAACCGAGUCUUAACUGGGCGUUAAGUUGCAGGGUAUAGACCCGAAACCCGGUGAUCUAGCCAUGGGCAGGUUGAAGGUUGGGUAACACUAACUGGAGGACCGAACCGACUAAUGUUGAAAAAUUAGCGGAUGACUUGUGGCUGGGGGUGAAAGGCCAAUCAAACCGGGAGAUAGCUGGUUCUCCCCGAAAGCUAUUUAGGUAGCGCCUCGUGAACUCAUCUUCGGGGGUAGAGCACUGUUUCGGCUAGGGGGUCAUCCCGACUUACCAACCCGAUGCAAACUACGAAUACCGAAGAAUGUUAUCACGGGAGACACACGGCGGGUGCUAACGUCCGUCGUGAAGAGGGAAACAACCCAGACCGCCAGCUAAGGUCCCAAAGUCAUGGUUAAGUGGGAAACGAUGUGGGAAGGCACAGACAGCCAGGAUGUUGGCUUAGAAGCAGCCAUCAUUUAAAGAAAGCGUAAUAGCUCACUGGUCGAGUCGGCCUGCGCGGAAGAUGUAACGGGGCUAAACCAUGCACCGAAGCUGCGGCAGCGACACUAUGUGUUGUUGGGUAGGGGAGCGUUCUGUAAGCCUGCGAAGGUGACCUGUGAGGGUUGCUGGAGGUAUCAGAAGUGCGAAUGCUGACAUAAGUAACGAUAAAGCGGGUGAAAAGCCCGCUCGCCGGAAGACCAAGGGUUCCUGUCCAACGUUAAUCGGGGCAGGGUGAGUCGACCCCUAAGGCGAGGCCGAAAGGCGUAGUCGAUGGGAAACAGGUUAAUAUUCCUGUACUUGGUGUUACUGCGAAGGGGGGACGGAGAAGGCUAUGUUAGCCGGGCGACGGUUGUCCCGGUUUAAGCAUGUAGGCUGGUUGUCCAGGCAAAUCCGGAUAAUCAAGGCUGAGGUGUGAUGACGAGGCACUACGGUGCUGAAGUAACAAAUGCCCUGCUUCCAGGAAAAGCCUCUAAGCAUCAGGUAACAUUGAAUCGUACCCCAAACCGACACAGGUGGUCAGGUAGAGAAUACCAAGGCGCUUGAGAGAACUCGGGUGAAGGAACUAGGCAAAAUGGUGCCGUAACUUCGGGAGAAGGCACGCUGGUGUGUAGGUGAAGUCCCUGCGGAUGGAGCUGAGACCAGUCGAAGAUACCAGCUGGCUGCAACUGUUUAUUAAAAACACAGCACUGUGCAAACACGAAAGUGGACGUAUACGGUGUGACGCCUGCCCGGUGCCGGAAGGUUAAUUGAUGGGGUUAUCCGUAAGGAGAAGCUCUUGAUCGAAGCCCCGGUAAACGGCGGCCGUAACUAUAACGGUCCUAAGGUAGCGAAAUUCCUUGUCGGGUAAGUUCCGACCUGCACGAAUGGCGUAAUGAUGGCCAGGCUGUCUCCACCCGAGACUCAGUGAAAUUGAACUCGCUGUGAAGAUGCAGUGUACCCGCGGCAAGACGGAAAGACCCCGUGAACCUUUACUAUAGCUUGACACUGAACAUUGAGCCUUGAUGUGUAGGAUAGGUGGGAGGCUUUGAAGCGUGGACGCCAGUCUGCGUGGAGCCAACCUUGAAAUACCACCCUUUAAUGUUUGAUGUUCUAACGUUGGCCCCUGACCGGGGUUGCGGACAGUGUCUGGUGGGUAGUUUGACUGGGGCGGUCUCCUCCCAAAGCGUAACGGAGGAGCACGAAGGUUAGCUAAUCCUGGUCGGACAUCAGGAGGUUAGUGCAAUGGCAUAAGCUAGCUUGACUGCGAGCGUGACGGCGCGAGCAGGUGCGAAAGCAGGUCAUAGUGAUCCGGUGGUUCUGAAUGGAAGGGCCAUCGCUCAACGGAUAAAAGGUACUCCGGGGAUAACAGGCUGAUACCGCCCAAGAGUUCAUAUCGACGGCGGUGUUUGGCACCUCGAUGUCGGCUCAUCACAUCCUGGGGCUGAAGUAGGUCCCAAGGGUAUGGCUGUUCGCCAUUUAAAGUGGUACGCGAGCUGGGUUUAGAACGUCGUGAGACAGUUCGGUCCCUAUCUGCCGUGGGCGCUGGAGAAUUGAGGGGGGCUGCUCCUAGUACGAGAGGACCGGAGUGGACGCAUCACUGGUGUUCGGGUUGUCAUGCCAAUGGCACUGCCCGGUAGCUAAAUGCGGAAGAGAUAAGUGCUGAAAGCAUCUAAGCACGAAACUUGCCCCGAGAUGAGUUCUCCCUGAGACUUUAAGUCUCCUGAAGGAACGUUGAAGACGACGACGUUGAUAGGCCGGGUGUGUAAGCGCAGCGAUGCGUUGAGCUAACCGGUACUAAUGAACCGUGAGGCUUAACCU
RNAcentral lists this ribosomal RNA (2899 nucleotides) under Klebsiella pneumoniae. Its description in RNAcentral is "23S ribosomal RNA". It matches the Rfam family "Bacterial large subunit ribosomal RNA". Lineage: Bacteria; Pseudomonadati; Pseudomonadota; Gammaproteobacteria; Enterobacterales; Enterobacteriaceae. The record is from RNAcentral.